AAUUCAGGUAUUAAGCAAUGCAAUAUAUAGAAGUGUGGAGCAUCGAGUGAUUGUAAAUUCAGCAAAAGAACGUGUCUCACUUGCCUUCUUUUAUAAUCCAAAGGGUGAUAUACCCAUAGAACCAUUGAAGGAGCUUGUGACACCAGAGAGACCUUCAUUAUACCAAGCUAUGACUUUUGAUGAGUACAGACUUUUCAUUAGAAC
RNAcentral lists this unclassified non-coding RNA (204 nucleotides) under Hevea brasiliensis (rubber tree). Lineage: Eukaryota; Viridiplantae; Streptophyta; Magnoliopsida; Malpighiales; Euphorbiaceae. The record is from RNAcentral.